This 60-nucleotide ribosomal RNA is filed under the name Calonectria pteridis. Its description in RNAcentral is "partial 28S ribosomal RNA". It matches the Rfam family "Eukaryotic large subunit ribosomal RNA", at positions 1 to 55 of the family's 3401-position model. The record is from RNAcentral. Lineage: Eukaryota; Fungi; Ascomycota; Sordariomycetes; Hypocreales; Nectriaceae.
CUGGUUGACCUCGAAUCAGGUAGGACUACCCGCUGAACUUAAGCAUAUCAAUAAGCGGAG